This is a non-coding RNA of Dipodomys ordii (Ord's kangaroo rat), 64 nucleotides long. NCBI's taxonomy places the organism in Eukaryota, Metazoa, Chordata, Mammalia, Rodentia, Heteromyidae. The record is from Rfam.
GGUGGCUCAGUGGUAGAGUGCUUGCCUUGCAUGCAUGAGGCCUGGGCUCGAUUCCUGAGUACCA